Non-coding RNA from Ictidomys tridecemlineatus (thirteen-lined ground squirrel), 389 nucleotides. Lineage: Eukaryota; Metazoa; Chordata; Mammalia; Rodentia; Sciuridae. The record is from RefSeq and is a predicted model, not a curated record.
AUUGGAUCUCACGUGGAGGAAUAAGUCUAAUUUUCCUAUCUCAAAAUCCUUAACUUUCUCCCAUCUGCAAAGUCUCUUUUGCCAUAAAGCAUGUGUUUGACAUAAAACAGCUCUAAAGAAAGGUCUUUGUUGGGAAAUUCAAUACCAAACAGUUGAAGAGAAGGAAAAGGAAUGUGAGGCUGAAAGAAAUGAAGAACCAAUUACUAGACAUGGUUUUAAUUUGACUACAUGCAGUUGAUUGUUGAUAUCCUAGCCACCAAGGAGCUGCCUAACCUCCUUUCAGGAUGAGUGCCUGGUGUAACAAAUAUGGUUAAGCACAAUAAAGACUAAUAACAUGAGAAAAAGACGAACACCUGAGGAGAAAGCCAUGAAAGUGACCAUUAAAAAGG